Molecule: long non-coding RNA, 1819 nt
Organism: Cygnus atratus (black swan)
Lineage: Eukaryota; Metazoa; Chordata; Aves; Anseriformes; Anatidae
Exons: 3
Source: RefSeq, a predicted model, not a curated record
CCCCCCCCCCCCGAAUACUGAUGGUACGCAUCCUCCUCCCUUUGAACAAGGCCAAGGGAGCUUUACUUCACUUCCAAGCCCAAUACUUCAGAGGAAAAAGACCACCCUUCCCAUUUUCCCUUGCUGCAGGAACAGCAGAGGCCUGGAGAGAUGCAGUCCAAGUACUGUAUAAAUACCAUUUGUACGUGAACACCUUUGCUGAAGUGGCUAAGGACCAGAGCUAGAUUCCCUAUUUGGAGCCUGCAUAGUUUGUGAAGAAAAUGUGGAUUUAAGGCACUUAUGCUUGAUUAAGGUGUCUAAGAGAACAUGGUAAUUUCAAAUGCUCUUUGCAACCCAUUUGUUUUUGCAAAAAUGUUUUUUGGGCGUCUCUGGGAAGCAAAAUGAAUGAAGAAACAGUAAAGUAUCAUGAAGAUAUAAAAGCUGACAGUUUUAUAACAGAGAGUAUUACUAAAUGUAGUUCACAAUUUAUGAAAUCACAAGUCACCUCUUCACAGAUGGUGAGACAAUGGUUUUUUAAUGCUUGAGGGCCUCUUAUUCUAAGAAUGCCAGAUGUACGUAAAAACAGGGUUGGGUUUUUUGUUUGUUUUGUUUUGUUUUAAACAAAACAUUUCAGUGUGUUUGGCAUUCAGUUUUUGGUUGUAAAGGUGACUUCUUAUUAGGACUCUUCAAUAUGAAAUGCCUUGCGGUAAGGAAAACAAAGAAAACACCACAAUUGCAUGAUUAUCCCAAGGCCUAUUAAACAUAAAUUGAAUCACUGCAAAUAACCCUGCGUUUACUUUACUAAUAUAUUGAGCUUGAAUUUGUAGUGCAGAAUCCAGUCAAUGGUGCAUAUAUAUGUUGCAAAUUGUAAAUAUGGUGGGGUUUUUUUAUGCUUUUCUAAAGAAGUCUCAAAAUUCUUAGGUAUAUGGAGGUAUUUCUCACUGCUGGGAAUAUUAUACAAAUACUCACAGACCAGUAUUUCUAUGCAAAUCACUGGAGAACUAAUGGCAAAAUGAGUUCACCAAUAUCAGUGCAAAAGAACUCUGCUGGGGUUACAUUCUGUUUGGAUACUUCUUGUUCUCUGGAAGUGAUUCAAUUGGAGAUGAGUCAGUUAUGGACAGGCUACCAAUGCCAUGUUGUAUACAUGUAUACAACCUCACCUGCUUAUGCCUGAUGUUCUUUCCACUGAAAUAAACACAAGUAUUACUAUUUUAAUACUCAUUAAGUGUAGAGCUCUGCUGUUGUUUUUUGGUUUGUUUGUUUUUAAAGUAGGAUUUUUUUUGUGGGUGCCGCAUGCAGUACGUUAGUGUUUUGCCUGAGGGUCAGUUAAUACACUUCUCGAAAGUGAGGCUAUUUUAAUUGAUGAAGCUUUUGGGAACUAACUUCUCUCUCUUGCAAAUUAAUGAAAUUGUCAAGAUUAAAUCAAUUUAAGUGGAGUGAGACAGCGAGAUAAUGUGCUAGCCUUUCUAUCUGGAAAUCUGUGCUCUUUAGAUUGAUGGCAUCAGGCAGUCUCUAAUGGAUAUAUUUGUCUACAUUACAAAAGUACUUCCUGCAGUCUGGACUUUUGCGUCAGAGAGGUUCAGGAUUUGGAAGGUAAAGUUUUGCAGCCCAGAAUGAAAACAUGAUGGUAGAGCUAUGCAGAAUACGUUUGCAUCCUAUUGUGUUUAUAAUAACCAGAGUGACAUCUAUGUUUUCAGGGACUGCUUGCAUGAAAUAAAGAAUGAAAAGGUAGAGGCUUGAUAUGAUCUCUGCUUCUGGGGAAGGCUAAAGAGAAGUUUGAAUUAUCUCUGUACCCUUCUCAUUUCAGCCUUUAUGGUAGAAAGCAAGCAUUUUUUGUGUU